This is a long non-coding RNA of Brassica napus (rape), 3501 nucleotides long. RefSeq lists it as uncharacterized. The transcript is spliced from 3 exons. The record is from RefSeq and is a predicted model, not a curated record. Lineage: Eukaryota; Viridiplantae; Streptophyta; Magnoliopsida; Brassicales; Brassicaceae.
CCCAAAAAUAAGACUAUAAACCUAAACUCUAUACCUUAAACCCAAUAUCUAGACCCUAAACCCAAAUCGUAAACCUUAAACCCAAAUUAUAUACCCUAAACCCAAAACUUUAACCAUAAAUCCAAACGGUAAAUCCUAAAUCCAAACCGUAAAUCCUAAACUCAAAGCCUAUACCCUAAACCCAAAUCUUAGACCCAAAACCCAAACCGUAAAUUCUAAACUCAAAACCUAUACCCUAAACCCAAAUCUUAGACCCAAAACCCAAACGGUAAACCUUAAGCCCUAACCCAAAACUUAGAUGCUAUAGGGUUUGGGUUAAGGUUUACGGUUUGGGUUUAGGGUGUAAGACUUGGGUUUAGAGUAUAGGGUUUAAGUUUAUAGUAUAUUUUUUAGGUUUAAGGUAUAUAAUUUGGGUUUAGGGUCUAGGAUUAGGGUUUAGGGUAUAGGGUUUGGGUUUAGGGGUUUGGAUUUGGGUUUAGAAUUUAGGGUAUAGGGUUUAGAAUUUAAGAUUUAGGGUUUAGGGUUUCGCUAGCGGCGUUAGCGUCGUUAAAAUUAAAAUUUUUAUUUUUUUUAGAUAUUUUUUAUUUAAUUUAAUAUUUUUUAAUUAAUAAUCUAUGUGUUAUUUUGAUUGGUCUUAAGGGUGAAGUAAAUUUAAAGUUCCACCCUAGGGGUAAACCUAAGUUUUGUUCAGAAUUAGAAACACAUAUACAACACAUUAGACUGACCGAUUGUACGGGCAUUCGUGUGUAAGGAAAUUAUUUCUGAAAUAGAGAAGGAAGUUUGAAUUCAAUAUUUAGUGAAUUGAUUAACGACUAAUCAAAUUAAUUCGCGGUUUAGAUAACAGAUUCUAUUUACGGAUGGAUUGAAGAGAAGUAAGCAAAGGUGGCUCUUAGCCGUAACACGUGACUAAAAUUUUAUAAGCAGAUAAGGAGACCAACAUAAUAAAUAAAUAAGCGUGGGGAAUAAGGAAACCACGGCAACCUUUUAUUUUCUUUGAUUUUAUGUGAAAGACCAGAGCAAUUUGUAGUAUUUGACUCUCACCAAUACCAUGUGUUAAUUUGAUAAAAUAAAGAAAACAAGUUGAUAUCCCAAAAGUGGUAAAAAAAAAAACAAAAAUGAUCAAUUUACGUAUUGACAAAUGCUACUAUUCUGCAAGCCGUGUGUUUCAAGUGACUUUCGUAAUGAUAAUUGAUAAAUAAAUGUUCUAUAACUAUAUGCUUAAAAACCAUAUUUAGAAGAAAAAAAAAACUAUUUGCUUAAAAACCAUUUUGUAAUCGUAAUAUUCGAUACGCUUUCCGCAAACUCCCGUGAUUUAUGAGAUUUAAAUAUCUUUUUAUAGAUAAAGAAGGUUUUUUUCUCUCCAAACGUGUCCACAUAGGAUGACACGUCACUAAUUCGAGCGACGUCGAACCGACACGUGUCAUCAUAAUCGAUCAUUCGCAUUUCAUUAAAUCCUCUAGCAAUUCGUUUGGGCUUUUCUAAUAAUUGGGCUUCAUGUUAGUUCGUUUAAGGCUUUUGUUAUAUCUAGGCUUUUAUCAUCUCCACCAAGAUGCAGCACUGCGUUACCAUUUUGUGUUAAACCCGCGUUCUUCUUUUUCUCCUCUCCAGACUCCAUUGCGAUUACUUUCAUCUUCUUCCUUAGAGUACGAAAGCAUACCAGUUACCGAAUAAUCCUCUUAAAACCCUCCAUUAAUCUAUCACACACGAUCUAUAUUCAAUGCAAGUUCUGACUCUGCAAGGCGGUGAAAGUUCACUUAUAAAAAGAUUUGCAGACGGGCCGUUCCUCCUCCACUUUUCAAGUCCGGUUGAUCUAUUUCUGGGAGGCCAGGAAUGUCCACCGUGGUGGAGAGCUCAUGGGAGUGGAUAUGCUACUACUGGAUUCUCAUGUAUCUUAUUUAAAUCUGCCUUUUGUUCAUAAACAGAAUUAUGAAAAGGUCAGCCUUCACCCUUGAACAUCAUCCUCCCAAUUCGUAGUAGCACCAAAAAUCUUAAUUAGUCUGAAGCUGUUCUGAAACUGGUCUCAAAACUGAUAGUAAUCUGUCUUUGUCUGUCUAUCUACUAUCGUUUGUUGCCGUCAAUGUCUCAUCUCAUAUAAGAGGCACCCAUCUGGACCUUGGUGUUAUUACAAAGAUGAACUUUUUGAUAUUUUUGUGGAAUUGUUUAGACAUAAUCAUCGAUGCACCUGAUCAUACCUUGGUAUUUCUGUAUCCAAGACACUUGAAUCCACUCUGGUUAAUGUUUCAUAUGAAUCUUUGUGUCUGCUCAUUAAUUUAAUUCGAGUUUUUUUUUCUGAAGCCAGCUUCCCGGUGUGUCAACCUGCAUUGUUAUGAACCUUUAAGCAAAAUGACCAUAUACCUCUAACUAUCCGAUCUCCCUUGAAGCGUAGAAUCUCUUUAAAGAAAAUUGAGACUUUGUGAAGGGUUGUAUAUGAUUUCCCAACCUUUGUAUUGUUUUAGGUGUCAGUAGUUUAAGUUGUGUUCUGAAGUAGUUGUGUUUCUUCUUAGCUGGAUCGUGUACCGAUGAUAUGACAUGUUUGAUAUUCUUUUAUUAUGCAUUUUGUUUUUUUGGGUUUUAUCUCAGCAACCAUGAAAGGUUGCUUAAUUUUUUUUUCUUUUUCUUUGGUCUGAAUGAUUUUUUUUUUUAAAAUACACCAAUCACGAGCCGCCACUUGUUGGUGGGUCCCGCGAAUAUUAUAAGCAACAAAGAAAACUCAGUGCUUAUUUUGCAUGCGGAAUGGACGAUGCUUGUGUUUUUGGUAGGGUCCCAGGCCAUAAGCAACUCUUUUGAUAGAGCGAUAAAGAUGCUCGUAGACUCUUUAAUUUUUUGGUAAACUGGUUUGCUACAUUCAUUCUUGGAUAGUUAGUUCUCUUCCACUAUAAAUUUAACACCUGUGUAUAGACUAUAAUAUAAAGAUGUAUCAUAAUGUUAGAAUAUUACGAAGAAGCUCAGCUUUUGUGUAUAAUUUAUAGCGUUGAUUCUAAGGUUGCAUAUAAGAUUCCAUUAUAAUAAGAUUAUGUAACGAUGUUUACCUAAGCUGAAUAAAAAUUCUUAAAGCCCGUUCAUGCUGAUUCUCAUGCACUUGAUAUAUAAUUUCGGCACUUGAGUUUGAUUAAUCCGGCGACCGUCUUGCCUUCGACGCAUACGCAAAACUUACAAAUGUGAGUGCCGCAACUGUAAUCAACUCAUGUGCAGGGGCCUGGUGUGGGAGACCUUGAUAAGAACGACAUACACAAAUUCCUUAAAGACGUUGUCGGCCAAACAUGCACUCAAGAAGACACGCAAGGCUAGCUGCUCAAUUUGUCAAAAUAAUGACCUUAUUAAAUUCUUUGUCCUUGCUUUAUCUAUCAUGUUUUCCAACUUUCAAGCAAUUAAAUAGUUCUUGCGGUAACUACACCCACAUGUUGAAUAACUUACCGCAAAGUUUAUAUAAUGUUACAAAAGUAGAUCGUUUGUUGGUUAAGGCAAACAAAUUUUAAUAAUCCUAUCAACUCCUUUCGGCAA